Long non-coding RNA from Drosophila mojavensis, 954 nucleotides. RefSeq lists it as uncharacterized. Lineage: Eukaryota; Metazoa; Arthropoda; Insecta; Diptera; Drosophilidae. The transcript has 3 exons. The record is from RefSeq and is a predicted model, not a curated record.
UUUCGUUAUGCCAUUCAUUCGUAUUCUGGCAUUUGGAGCAUACGGACGUCGUGGUCGGUUCCGUGAACGCUCGUUGUUUGUUUCGGCAAGUAAUAUCGUUUUACAAAAUAGCUCAACAAAUAUAAAAUAUAUACAUAUACCUACAUACAUAUGUGUGCAUUGCUUAAGAUUAUCAAGAAAUCAUAAUAAAGAAAAUCGAAAGAGAAGUCAGCUACAAAAGCAAAUAAGAAAUGUACGAAAAAAUGCAUCGCUAGAAUGAGGUGAAUACUCGAAAUGCAAAUAUAUAAGAAUAUAUGUGAAACCGAAAAAAAAAUUAAAAACCUUAAGAGGAACGGGCGAUGAUAACAGCAAAUCAACUGCAUCACAUGUAACUCGGAGAAGAGCCAAAGCACAACAAUAAAGCAAUAAACUUCGACCAACAAAACAAUAACAACAACAACAUUGACGACGAAAAUCAUUCCAGCAAAUACAGAUAUAAGAGAGGGACGAAGAGCGAGAGAGAGAGUAAACAAGAGUGAUGAUUACCUAACGGGCAAUCGCCCCUAGUUCAAUACUUGAUAUACAAAAAUAACCUAAAUUUAAUUGAGAAACAACAUGGAUUUAAGAGAUUUACCGGUUGAAAUGUUUUACUGGAAGUCAGCUGCUAGUAAGAGCCUAGAGCUGAACCGGAUUUCGGAUAGAAUCAAAUUUGUAACGUUAAGGCAAACACGUUGCUGUGCCACAAAAACAAAGCCAACGAGAACAGGUGACGUAUUAGCAACAACAAUAGCAACGCCAUUGUCAAAAACGCCAGCAUCAACAGCAUAUGACAAUAUUUGUGUCAUAUGCCGACAAGUGCCAGCAACAACAGAAUGUUGCUGCAUUCAGCAGACAGCAACACGCAGCAGUUCCUAUCCAAGCAGCAGCAGCAGCAGCCAGUGCAAAUUCAGAAACAGUCACAGUAACAGUAACAGU